RNAcentral lists this ribosomal RNA (254 nucleotides) under uncultured bacterium. RNAcentral describes it as "partial 16S ribosomal RNA". It matches the Rfam family "Bacterial small subunit ribosomal RNA", at positions 524 to 776 of the family's 1533-position model. The record is from RNAcentral.
UACGAAGGGGGGCUAGCGUUGCUCGGAAUUACUGGGCGUAAAGGGCUCGUAGGCGGCCAACUAAGUCGGACGUGAAAUCCCUCAGCUUAACUGGGGAACUGCGUCCGAUACUGGAUGGCUUGGAUUGGGAGAGGGAUGCGGAAUUCCAGGUGUAGCGGUGAAAUGCGUAGAUAUCUGGAGGAACACCGGUGGCGAAGGCGGGUCUCUGGGGCCGAUACUGACGCUGAGGAGCGAAAGCGUGGGGAGCGAACAGG